RNAcentral lists this small RNA (339 nucleotides) under Histoplasma ohiense. RNAcentral's name for it is "hypothetical lncRNA". Lineage: Eukaryota; Fungi; Ascomycota; Eurotiomycetes; Onygenales; Ajellomycetaceae. The record is from RNAcentral.
CCGAAGCAGCACUGCUUCCCCAAUGCCGUGAUGGAGAUAACAAUGCAAACAAAGAUGGUCUGGCGUCGCUGAACCACAACCUGAUGCGAGGCGCUUUUGGCACCUGGGUUGCUUGAAGCAAGCGGGGCCUAAACGAGGUAAAAGAAAGUUUGAGGAACCUUCGCUACCCCGACCAGUCAUAACCCCCUAAUAUGAUUUCCGGGAUCUUGAGGCUACGAUCCGCCCCCACCAAACUGCUAGCAGGAGGUCAAAACACCUACGAUGUGAACAUCUUGGCAACCCCAACGACGACAAUGGGAUGGAAUUUUGCAUGCACAAGCAAGAAAAUGCUAUUAAUCU